This 876-nucleotide unclassified non-coding RNA is filed under the name Hevea brasiliensis (rubber tree). Lineage: Eukaryota; Viridiplantae; Streptophyta; Magnoliopsida; Malpighiales; Euphorbiaceae. The record is from RNAcentral.
AAAUUGAAUAAAUUUCCAAUUUCUAAGGGGAGAGAUCCAUUUAAAUGGUUUUGAUGUAAUUGUACGGAAAUCAACAUAGACUUGGAAGCAAAAAGUUGUUUAGGUAUGGAGCCACUAAGGUUGUUUUGAAAAAGGCACAGAACUAAUAACUCUCUACAAUUUCCAAGACUGGAGGGAAUUGUGCCUUGUAAAUUGUUAUUGGACAAAUUAAGCCAAAUCAAUUGUGAUAAGUUCCCUAUAGAUGAAGGAAUUGGUCCAAACAAUCUAUUAGAGUGGAGCGACAUUCGUCGCAAUCUAGGAAGUGUACCUAUUUCAACGGGAAUAUUGCCCAUAAUUUGGUUAGAACCGAAAUGCAUAUGCGAUAAGCUAACAAGUGUAGAUAACCAUGGAGGGAGGCCUCCAUAUAUUUGAUUGUCCCCCAUUCCCAGCCAUUCAAGUGAUGAAGAUUGAUUGGCCACAAAAUUUGGCAAUACCCCUUUAAACUGAUUGUCAGAUAUUUCUAAAAGUUUUAAAUUGCUACAAUUCAGUAAAGACGUGAUAAAAUCCAAAUCGUUAUCUCCCUUGUUUCCGAGAUUGUUGCCACCCAAACCUAACCAUUGAAGUUGUUGUAGGCCUCCAAAAUCAACAUGUACUUUUCCAGUGAAUUUGUUAUAUCCUAAACCAAUUUGUUGGAGAUUGGUGGCAUUGGAUAAUGACAAUGGAAUUGAUCCACUAAAGUUGUUGAUCGACAUAUGCAAGACGCGAAGAUUAGGUAAAAGGAGGCCAACAUUCAAUGGGAGACUUCCAUGGAGGAAAUUAAUUGGUAUAGAUAAUGCAGUGAUGGAGGAAAUAUUAUAAAUGGAUUCAGGGACGAUACCUGAGAGGUUAUUGCUUCCA